GGGCAGGUAUCUCAGUGUUAGAGGUCCAGUAAUUAAUUUUUCUGGAAGUCGGUGGUUCAACUCCAUCCCUGCUCACCA
RNAcentral lists this transfer RNA (78 nucleotides) under Bacteroidota bacterium. RNAcentral's name for it is "Bacteroidetes bacterium tRNA-Ile". It matches the Rfam family "tRNA". From Rfam's summary of the family: Transfer RNA (tRNA) molecules are approximately 80 nucleotides in length. Their secondary structure includes four short double-helical elements and three loops (D, anti-codon, and T loops). The record is from RNAcentral. Lineage: Bacteria; Pseudomonadati; Bacteroidota.